RNAcentral lists this ribosomal RNA (492 nucleotides) under uncultured bacterium. RNAcentral describes it as "partial 16S ribosomal RNA". It matches the Rfam family "Bacterial small subunit ribosomal RNA", at positions 29 to 507 of the family's 1533-position model. The record is from RNAcentral.
AGUGAACGCUGGCGGUAGGCCUAACACAUGCCAGUCGAACGGCAGCACAGUAAGAGCUUGCUCUUACGGGUGGCGAGUGGCGGACGGGUGAGGAAUACAUCGGAAUCUACUUUUUCGCGGGGGAUAACGUAGGGAAACUUACGCUAAUACCGCAUACGACCUACGGGUGAAAGCAGGGGAUCUUCGGACCUUGCGCGAUUGAAUGAGCCGAUGUCGGAUUAGCUAGUUGGCGGGGUAAAGGCCCACCAAGGCGACGAUCCGUAGCUGGUCUGAGAGGAUGAUCAGCCACACUGGAACUGAGACACGGUCCAGACUCCUACGGGAGGCAGCAGUGGGGAAUAUUGGACAAUGGGCGCAAGCCUGAUCCAGCCAUACCGCGUGGGUGAAGAAGACCUUCGGGUUGUAAAGCCCUUUUGUUGGGAAAGAAAAGCAGCAGGUUAAUACCCCGCUGUUCUGACGGUACCCAAAGAAUAAGCACCGGCUAACUUCGUG